This 427-nucleotide ribosomal RNA is filed under the name uncultured bacterium. RNAcentral's name for it is "bacterial SSU rRNA". It matches the Rfam family "Bacterial small subunit ribosomal RNA", at positions 355 to 774 of the family's 1533-position model. The record is from RNAcentral.
UGGGGAAUAUUGCACAAUGGGGGAAACCCUGAUGCAGCCAUGCCGCGUGUGUGAAGAAGGCCUUCGGGUUGUAAAGCACUUUCAGUAGGGAGGAAAGGGUGUAACUUAAUACGUUAUAUCUGUGACGUUACCUACAGAAGAAGGACCGGCUAACUCCGUGCCAGCAGCCGCGGUAAUACGGAGGGUCCGAGCGUUAAUCGGAAUUACUGGGCGUAAAGCGUGCGCAGGCGGUUUGUUAAGCGAGAUGUGAAAGCCCUGGGCUCAACCUAGGAAUAGCAUUUCGAACUGGCGAACUAGAGUCUUGUAGAGGGGGGUAGAAUUCCAGGUGUAGCGGUGAAAUGCGUAGAGAUCUGGAGGAAUACCGGUGGCGAAGGCGGCCCCCUGGACAAAGACUGACGCUCAUGCACGAAAGCGUGGGGAGCAAACA